This 82-nucleotide transfer RNA is filed under the name Muribaculaceae bacterium. RNAcentral's name for it is "tRNA-Leu". It matches the Rfam family "tRNA". Rfam says of the family: Transfer RNA (tRNA) molecules are approximately 80 nucleotides in length. Lineage: Bacteria; Pseudomonadati; Bacteroidota; Bacteroidia; Bacteroidales; Muribaculaceae. The record is from RNAcentral.
GGGCGAAUGGUGUAAUUGGUAGCCACGAAAGAUUCAAAAUCUUUUACCGCAAGGUGUCAGGGUUCGAGUCCCUGUUUGCCCA